GGAGAGGUGGCCGAGUUGGUCUAAGGCGCCCGCUUGCUAAGCGGUCGCACGGGUAAAACCGUGCCGGGAGUUCGAAUCUCCCCCUCUCCG
This 90-nucleotide transfer RNA is filed under the name Pseudomonadota bacterium. RNAcentral describes it as "tRNA-Ser". It matches the Rfam family "tRNA". From Rfam's summary of the family: Transfer RNA (tRNA) molecules are approximately 80 nucleotides in length. RNAcentral also lists the same sequence under 1 other name. The record is from RNAcentral. Lineage: Bacteria; Pseudomonadati; Pseudomonadota.